UUAUUAUAAUAACAAAUAUAUAAUAUACAUACAUAUAAACUAAUAUAAAUUUUGAAUUUUUUUAACAGUUUGGGGGUAAGCGGCAAUACGAUCCAAAAACUGAAUUGUUACCAAUACAGCGACAGUGGAUAGAACAGUUGAUGGCGAUGAUUCACGAUGAUGAUUGAGGCUGAAAGCCCCAAGAAUUUUUCUUCCCUAUCACUACUACAAAUUACACUAUUUACGUCGGUCAACGACACUGUUCAUUUCAUUGACCGAUGUAAAUAGUCAGCCAUGUAUUUAUGCAACUGUUUUAAACUGACGCUAAAAAAGUAUUACUUGUGUCUGUUACUAAUUAGACAGUAAUGAAAAAACCGACGGGAAAAGUAAAAUAUUAAAAAUUUUAAUUGGUUUGUUGCGUCGGUUUAGAAAGGUUGAAUAUGACUAUAUAGUCAGUUAUAAAAACUCACAAAAAUAGUUUCAAGUUCUUUAAACGGACGCUGACAGUAAUGAAAAAACCGACGGGAAAAGUAAAACAUUAAAAAUUUUAAUUGGUUUGUUGCGUCGGUUUAGAAAGGUUGAAUAUGACUAUAUAGUCAGUUAUAAAAACUCACAAAAAUGGUUUCAAGUUCUUUAAACAGACGCUGAAUCCCUAUUUCCUCUAAACCCAAAUCGAGAAAUAAGCAGACUAUUCAUUCUCUUCUCCAAAUCAGAAAUUAGGGUAUAGCUCUGGCAAUAUUCGACCCCCAUCGCUCCCCUAUCACCCACGAUUCCUUCUCUCUGUGUUCCUCUCACCUACAGUCCAUCUCUCUCAGUGGUCAGCACGACACAACUCCUCUCUCUCUCCAUAGUCGGCACCACGAAGGUUCAACAUCUUCUCUCCUCUUCCUAAACCUUUAAAAUAUAGAAGACCAACUUUAAGGAUUCCUUCUCCAUCGUUGAAGAAAUAAACGAUAAGAAGUACCAUGGUUAGGGUGGGUAGAAUUGGCUGUGAGGUUCUUAAGACUCUUGCUUUCUCUGGCUUCCAAGGCAUUCAUAUUGGAUGGGUUGGCGUAAUAUGCUGAUAAUGAUAUUGAGACUCAAAUUUUAUAACCUUUGAAGCAGCAGAAUUGUAAAUAUAUUUCUGAAGUUUGUUUUACAAAUAUAUUAAUGUCUUUAGCACAUACUAUUUCUUUUUUGUUGGUGCUUGUCCUAUUGUAAAUAUUUGAUCCUCUCAUUGGUUGUAUUCACUUGGGCUUACUUCUUAUUAUGUCUUAUAUUUCUGAUGUUGUUUCAAGUAAACGUUCGGGUAUUUCAUAUUUUUUUAUUAUUGAAUAUAUUUUUUCUUUGUUCAAUAAAUAAAUAGUUUGUUUCUUUCCCUUAAUUAAUUUAAUAGUUGGUUGUAUCAAGAUUGUAGUAAGCUGAGUUAAUUUCAUUUUAUUUCAAUUUGAUUAGUUCAGGGGACUUUGCUUUAUUUUAAAGAUUUAAAAUCUUAUAUUUGUUUCUAAAAGGAAAAAUGAGAUAUAAAUAGAGAUUUUUGUUUCUCUAUUCUUUAACUUGAGAGAGAUUUUUAUUAAUAUGCAAUGUAUGCUUUCCUAAAGAUUUUCAACUUUUUUUUUUCUUUUUAAUUGAGUCAUAGGUAUUAAUAUGCUUACAGUUUACAUGGAUAGGUGAAUGAAUAGGGCUCUGUUAUUUCAAUUUUUAUUCCAUCAAAGAAGAUAAAAAUAAACUUGUACAACUUGAGCUAUUUUCUUUACUUUGUUGUUGCUCAUUUUAUUUAUUUAUUUAUUAUUUUUUUGGUAGAGCUUUGUUUUAGACUGUUUUUAAUUUUAAAAUACAAUAUUUUACUAUGUUUUUGAAAGUGAGGUACGCUUCAAGUCAAUAUGACAAGACCAUCCUUAAUUUUGGUAUAACACGCCUUACAUAACCAGGCUUUCAUAGUUUGUAAGAGAUAAUGUUUUCUUUUGUUUUGAUAUAUUAUGAUUAUCAUUAUUUGUAAACAUAAUAUAUAUAUAUAUAUCAACGCCAUUCAUUCAAAUAUAGAAUUUUUUUCACAUAUUUUCACUUGGUUACUAUGGAUUCUCCAACAAUAUUAAAAGUUCUUUACUUAUUUUAGUCCAUUUAAAGUUUUGGCCACUUUAAACUUUCAAUUUUGUAAUUCAGUGCUGGCUGAACUUGUAAUAAGUAGGAAAAUACAUCAUCAACAUUGCUUAAUUUAAAACAUUCUUUAUUAAAAUUUUAUGUAUCUACCAAAGAUAGCAUAUAGUCAUGAAUUAAUCAGUAAGUCUUGUGAAGUCAUAAGAAUAUCAAUAAUAAUGUUUUAUGAUAAAUUGACAUUUUUCUGGAAUUGACAAAUUCACUAAAAAAAAGAGUAUAGAAACUUUUAAAUAUGGCCAACCUUUCGUUAGAAAUCCUCUUGAAAGUUGAAACUGUUUUUUCCUUCUGUAUUAGUUAUGUUUUGGAUGUACUAAUAAGUCAAAUUGGCUCUUCCAGUCAAAAAAGAAAAAAAAAAAGUUAAACUGAUUGGUUCUGCUAUUUAUUCAUUUAUUUAGCAGGUUGUGACAUAAAACUGCAAAUACUUAUCAGUUGCUUUAGUGUGUUUUGGACUUUGUAUAUUAUAUUCUUCAUGUACUAAAGUAUUUUCUACAGUAUUG
Molecule: long non-coding RNA, 2612 nt
Organism: Cannabis sativa
Lineage: Eukaryota; Viridiplantae; Streptophyta; Magnoliopsida; Rosales; Cannabaceae
Exons: 3
Source: RefSeq, a predicted model, not a curated record